Molecule: long non-coding RNA, 1186 nt
Organism: Astatotilapia calliptera (eastern happy)
Lineage: Eukaryota; Metazoa; Chordata; Actinopteri; Cichliformes; Cichlidae
Source: Ensembl
GCAGGUCUCUCAACAGUCUUGUAAACCUGUCUCCAUACAUUCUGCAAUCUCUUCUUCGCCUGUCUCGUGCACUGUUCGUUGCUUUGGGUGGUUGACCCCAGGUAUUUAAAGUCAUCCACCUUAAUCAGUCUACUCCUCUUCUUUCCAGAGCAUGCUUCCACCUCUCCAGGUUCUCUUCCGUCCGCCUUCUGUUCUCACUACAGAUCACUAUGUCUGCAAACAUCAAUCCAUGCAGACUCUUGUUGGCCUAAUCCAUCAACUUGUCUGUCAUUAUUGGAAAUAAGAAGGGACACAUCUUUUUCAGCUACGUGAGAGGAGGUUUUUGCUGACUCCAUCAGCCUCGUGAUCAUCUUAACGCCUACUACAUCUGAGUCAGAAAGCAGCCUUCCCACAUUCAGAUAAAGAAUAAAUAACACUGCAGGAUUGCAGUGGAGAGACGGGACCAGAUUAAACUUGCUGCCCUUGCACUACCCAGACUAUGGAUCUCUCACACACACACGAUAAACUGUACUUUAUUUACUUAAAACAGGCUUUCCUGGAACAGAGCACAAUAAUAAUAUUAGAAAUAAUAGGCCCCGCUUACACCGAGUGAACCACAGGAGUCUGUAUUUUAAGCAGAAUAUUAGUAACGCAUACAGACUAUGAAUACAACUGAAUAGUUGUGAAUGCAUUUUACGCUCGUGCAUUCACAACUAUUAAAACCAGCUCCAUUAAGAAAAACAAGGUAGAUAAGAGAGCGUGACCAGUAUGUGUACACUGUUCUUCAUCAAGUAAACAUUAAAUGCACUACAGAAGAGUUUUCUUUUUGUUUUUUGUCUCUGUCCAUUUUCUCAAUUCUUUCUCAUCUUCUCCCAUAUGGAAAAGAUAUUUAUAAAUCUUAUCAAGUUUGUAUCUGUCUUGUGUGAAACUUGUAUGAAAAGCAGACAAGAGUGAAAACAGACAUAAGAAACCUUGAAAAAUUAUAUAAAUGAAACUUGUAUGUUUUGGAUACUUACUAAUACAAUAUAUGAAAGUAAUGAGAAAGUGGCGUAAAUCAUAUAAACCUUACAUGAUUUGCUAUAUGAAGCAAGCUAAAGCCGAUGCAAGUUUUUCCUAUUUCUUUUCCAUUUGAGCUUAUCAACAAAAAAAUGUAUGAUCGCAACUUUAGCUCAUAUUUCAAACAAUAUUUCUUGUGCUGGUAGAUUUA